RNAcentral lists this long non-coding RNA (3672 nucleotides) under Sus scrofa (pig). Its description in RNAcentral is "lncRNA (ENSSSCG00000062518.1, ENSSSCG00110016724.1)". Lineage: Eukaryota; Metazoa; Chordata; Mammalia; Artiodactyla; Suidae. The record is from RNAcentral.
UUGCUUUUUAGGGCUGCACCUGCAGCAUAUGGAAGUUCCUAGGCUUGGGGUCAAAUUGGAGCCACAUCUGCCAGCCUGCAUCACAGCCUCAGCAAUGCAGGAUCCAAGCCAUAUUUGAGACUUAUACCACAGUUCAUGGCAAUGCUGGAUCCUUAACCCACUAAGCCACGACAGAGAUCUAACAGGCAUCCUCAUGGGUACUGGUCAGUUUUGUUACUGUUGCACCACCACGGGAACCAAGAAUGCUUGUUUGAGCCCUGGAAUUCAGGUACACAGGAAGUUACAUUCACCAUUUAAGACUUUAUGGCAAUAUAAGACAAUACAUUUCUUCUUCCCACUGGAAGGAAACUCCUCUGUUCACCAUUCACACAGAGUGGGAGCUGAACCAUAUGACCGGAAAUAAUUGCUGAUCUCAUUUGUAGGGAAUGGAAAAAAUGUGCUAAUGUGUUUUCCCUCAGACUUUGUAAUACUGGGUAUUUUAAUUCUAGAAGUCCUAGUAAGUACUAUAAUAUACUUCAGGUACAUGAUGAUUAGGGUAGCUUUUCUGAGUUGGCCUACAACCAAUUAGUAACUAAACUUUUGAGAUUUAAUCUGGUCCAUGGGUUAGGAUUUUCCUGCAUUAAAUAAAUCACUGGAGUUCCCACUGUGGCACAAUGGGUUAAGGAUCAGGCAUUGUCUUUGUUGCAGCUAGGGUUGCUGUGAGGUUUGGGGUUUGAUCCCCAGCCUAGUGCAAUGGGUUAAGGAUCCAGUGCUACCUCAGCUGUGGCACAGGUUCAAUCCUCAGGCAGGGUAUGUGGCAGGUGGCAGCCAAUAAGUAAAUAAAUAAGAAAUCAUUGACAAGAUACAUAAAUUCUGAACACCAUAGAAUUCUUCCUAACUUCCUUUCACCAAAAAACCAAGAAGCAGGACCUAUAGUGAUAACUGGGUGUACACUGCCCAAGAUCUCUACUCUACUUCCCAAACAUCAGGUUGUUCAUAUUCAAAGGAGUCAGAAACAUGCAUUAUAAAGUACUUUUUUUACCACUCAUAGAAAAAGUACAUUGAAUAUGAGCAUAACCAGAAUUUAUAUAUUCACUAAAAACCAAAGCAUACUUUUUGCAAGUUUCCUUAACCAGAAUUUUGUAUUUUCAUUAGAAAUGAAAACCUAAGCAUAUUUGCAUAUUCACGGAUAAUAAUUUUUUAAUGACAACUUUUUCUUCCUACGGAAUAAUAAACAAAUGUAAGCAUACCUACUUUAGGAACACAGAAGGAAUUAUCCUUAGCAACUCAAUAUAAGUUUUGUAAAAAUGCCAGAAUUUCCCUAACUAUGUUCUUUGGAACCAUUAACAGGUGUUUUUAUACCCACACACACAAUCCUGUGGUCAAAAAGACUGGGAAACAUUACAUACCAUUCUCAGUCCUAAAAACUCUCAAUGCCUAUUUGCAUAUUUUAGAAUGUGAGAAUCCUUGAAUACCUGCUCAAAUUGGAUUAACACAGCAUUUCCCAAAGUUAACUUUCUGAAAAUGAACAUUUUGCUUCCAACCGCCACCUCCAACCCCCCCAUUUCCCCAGAUCAACUUUUGGAACAGCUUGUGGAACCAGUUCCAUAAAGCAAAGUUUGGGAAACAGUAGUUUAGUGGCUCCUAUCUACACAGAUUUUGCUGUCUGAAUAAUAUGUAAGGAACUUUGAGUGACAAUUGCACCCAUUUGGAUAUAACUUCAGCUGACUCCAUAAUUAGAAAUUUAAAAUGCAAAUUUUUCCAAAGCAAACUGCCUUUACCAUUUAGACAUGUUGCUGAGAUUUAUUUGGAUUUGCGUACAGUCAUAUUACUUUCCAGUAUAUCUGGUAUAGGUAAUAGGCUCCAAAGACCUAUAAAUAUUGAACGCAAAUAAGAUUGGCCAUGUCUAAAUUUUAUACAUAAACAAAUCUGACAAUUUUAAUAUGGCAAAUGUACUCUGUAUUUGGGGGUGAGGUGGGGUGGGUACAUGCCUCCCGGGAAAACCUGGAACAGAAUGGAAGCUUCUUUAUUUAUAUUCAGCAUAAGCUGUAUAUUAAGGAUGCAUGUAAGUAUGGGUGAGGACAGAAAACCAUUGCUAUUGAGCUUCAGACGUGGCAGCAAAGAAUUAAGAGAUCAUCACCAUCUCUCUCUAAAUAUAAUGAAAAUCUAACUUUACAAUACUCCUCUUAAAUGAGCUUUCCUCAUGCUACUUAGCUAUGCAUUAAAUCUUGGCAUACACAAAAAAAUAAAAACAGGGUAGUUCUAAAGGUUCAUUUAUGUUGGCUGGAUUAUGAAGAUUAACUCCUCAGAUGGUGUUCUAAAGAAGUCAUCAAAUGUAAGUAUAAUUGAAAAUAAAAACCUGCAAAAACAUUUAAAUAUUGAUAGGAAAGUGAACAGAUAGGAUAUAGUCAAGAAGACACCACUCUUUAGAUACAUAACAUCAGUGUAUAUCAUAAAGGACUAAAGAAUUUAAUUCUCUAAGGAAUAUAAUAGAGAUUUCAGCUUCAGCAAGGCAAAUUUUCUGGAAAUACUCAUGGCAGAGACAUACAUGAAGAGUUACAGGUUUAAAAUAAUUUGAAUUGUACGUCACUUGCACUGAAGAUUUUUUUUUAAUGUGAUAAAUUGGAUUUAUGAUUAAUUCUCUAAAAUAUUCUAAUCCUGGCUCAUAGAGAAGGCAAGGUCCUCUUGUCCAAAGUAGCCUGUGGCUUCUGCAACCUUGCCAAGUGACACAAAUGUUAGCUGUAUACUAAAAUGCAGAGUUUCUCAAAGUGUGCAUGCUUCUAUUGAUACCUAGGAUGAUUUUAGGUGGUCUAGGGAGUUCUAUUUUAAUAAUGAAAGUGGCUAAAAUGAUAAAAUAAAAAUAGCACUACUUACUGAGGGUUCACUAUGUGCUGCCAAGCAAAAAGUCUAGUACAUUAAUUUGAACAGUCUUCACAAGACCACGCUGUGGAAGCUCCUGUUACUUCCAAUGAAGAGAAAGAAAAUGGAGGCACAGAGAAGCUAAGUAAGUUUCUCAAAAUCACACAGCUGGAAACAGGCAGAGAUAAGAGUUAAUAUCAAGAUAUUUGGCUCAAAUCCAGGCUUGGUCAUUUCACGGAUAUAUUUGUUGGUUAAGUGGGUUUACCUAAUAAAAAAAUAUUUUUUUAGUCUGUGGACAUGAAAUAAAAUCACACAAGUUGUAGGCAGGUGUCUGAUGUUCAGGUAACAAGUGGGGGUGGAAGGGUGGCAGAGCCAGAAAUUAAAGAUGCUUAGAGAUUAUGAAGUAAAUGUUUAAUAACAGGUCAGAAAUUUGGGUUAAAGUCCUGGUACAGACCCCCUGAGGUGAAAAGCCCCAACCUUCAACUUACCUGCUUUCAGUGUUGCCCAGAAAGUUCUCUUGUUCAGAUAGGAAAUCUUCCUACUUUUACAUGAUUUUUAAGACAUCACACAAUCACAUGUCUAAGGGAAAUAUAAAUGGUUCAACUAACUCUGUAAAAGAAAUGGCUCAAUUAUUAUAUAUUACAAUUCAAGGGAAAAAAAAACCAAACUUAAGAAAAAGCUGACAAUCAGAUCAGAAACAUUAUGGGAAGUUUCUUGCUCAUUUUCUCCAGAGGUUAAACCAGAAGAUUUUUUUAAAAGGGUAGAAGUUUAAGGUCUAGCUAGGGAAUAAAGACAUGUUUCGUCUGACACUUCCCAAUUCAAAUUCAACAUCUA